AACGAACGCUGGCGGCGUGGAUAAGACAUGCAAGUCGAACGGGAUUACUUCUAGUAGCAAUACCUGAAGUAAUUUAGUGGCGAACGGGUGCGUGACACGUGGGGAAUCUGCUGAGAAGUGGGGGAUAGCUCGUCGAAAGGCGAAUUAAUACCGCAUACGAUCAGGGAAGACAUCUUUCCAACAUCAAAGUCGGGGCAACCUGGCGCUUCUUGAUGACCCCGCGGCCUAUCAGCUAGUUGGUGAGGUAACGGCCCACCAAGGCUAUGACGGGUAGCUGGUCUGAGAGGACGACCAGUCACACUGGGAACUGAGACACGGUCCAGACACCUACGGGUGGCAGCAGUCGAGAAUUUUUUCUCAGUGGGGGCAACCCUGAAGGAGCGACGCCGCGUGGAGGAUGAUGGC
This 405-nucleotide ribosomal RNA is filed under the name uncultured bacterium. RNAcentral's name for it is "bacterial SSU rRNA". It matches the Rfam family "Bacterial small subunit ribosomal RNA", at positions 29 to 415 of the family's 1533-position model. The record is from RNAcentral.